UAGAAAUCAUAAAGGGAAUACUGUUGGAUUAUAACACAUUAAAUUAAAAUCUAACAUGCAGCCUGGUACUCAGUGUUAAUUAAGGAUGUGAAGAAACAAUCUCUUUCAUUCACUGCUUGAGGGAAUGAUAAUCUCACACACUUUCUGGAACGCACUUAUGUUUCAAAAGCUUUACAUUUCAUAUAUACUUUAGAAAUUCGUCUAUAUGUGACAAUGACAGUAGUAUGCAAAAAUGUAUUAACCGCAUCACUGUUUAUGACCAAAAAAGUGAAAGUGAUGUAAAUAUCCAAUUUAGGAGUAGGUGAAAAAGCAGUUAUAAAAUAUUAAUGUGAUGCAAUUCUAUUUUGUUUAAAGAUACUGGUCUCUGUGUGUUUAACUUAUGGGAGGACUAGAAGGAAAAUGUUUUGUUGAACUACAACUUGAGUCCAUAUACCUAGUAGAUCUGUCUGCUAGUUUCCGUUACAUUCUAUAUUCGUUUAUUCAGUAUUCACUCAUUCAUUCUAUAUUUAUUUGUCCGAUAACUCUUGCCCUUCUAGAUGCUAAUAUGUCAUCUGUCACAAUUCCACAGCAAAAGUACUAUGGAAAAAGAUGGGUCUGCUUUAUUCACUGAAAAAUUAAAGAACACUUCAAAAAGGAACUGAUACUUGAGUUUAUUCAUUGUUCAUUCAAGAAAUAUACUUAUUGAGCACUUGCGACAUGCUAGUCACUGUCCUUUGUGCUUGCAACAAAUCAGUGAACCUUAAAAACAAAAACACAACAUACUCCUGUUCUUAUGAUGUAAUCUUGAGAGAUGGUGAUUGUUUCAUCAAACAGAAAAAAAAAAAAAAAGGAUGAGACGGUAUUCCAAGUAGAGAAAGCCACACUUGACUUUAUUUAUUUCACAAUAGUUAUCAAUUUAUUUGUGUGAUUCUCCCACUGGACUCUAAGUUCCUUAAGAAAGGAACUCUGGCUUGUACUGCUGUAUCUCUGAUGCCAAACAUUGUUCCAGACCCAUAAUAGGCACACAGUAAAUAUUUUUGAAUAACUAAUACUAUACUUCAUUCCCUAGAACAGAGUUUCUUGAUGUUGGCAUUAUUGGCAUUUGAGGCCAGAUAAUUAUUUGUUGUGGGUGUCUACCCUGUGCAUUGUAGAAUGUUUAGCUGCAUCACUGGAUGCUAGCAUGCAGCUAGAUGCCAGCAGUACCUCUCCUGCCUGUUAUCAAAACCAAAGAUGUUUCCAGGCAUUUUCAAAUGUCUGUGGGGUCCAGAAUCACCCCUAUCUGUAGAGAAUCACUGUCCUAGCACUGUGAAAUUAAGUGAAAACUAUGGAACAAUUCCAGUGAAUAUAAUGUGGAAAUCGGGAAGAGUAGAAUGAGACUUUCUUUUCAGUUACUUUGAGUCUUUUAUUAGAGGCAUUGUAUUUUAUUUUUUGUCCAAGCACUCUUAAUUCUAUACUGUUUGUUGAUUCAAUUCCUAUACUGACUACCGUGCUUGUGAGAGAUGGGGACAUCACAUGUAAAGAUGAGCGAUGUCUGCAUUUAACCCACCUUGCUGGUCACAUCCCUAGUGGUACUGCAACUUUGUUUUGUUUUCAAAAGAAAGGAGGAAAGACUUUAAGAUGUUGCUUUUAUCAAAUAAAUAAGCUAGUGUUUUUUCAAGAAAUUUUAGACACACUCUAAGACAAAACUCCUAAUGCAGUUUUUUAAUACCUUUUAUAAUGUAGGAUUUUUUAAUACCUAAUAUUUCAUCUUGAAUUGCAAUCCCCAGAUGUUGAGGGAGAGACCUGGUGGGAAGUGACUGCGGUUUUCCCCCUGCUGCUCUCGUGAAGGUCAGUGAAUUCUCGCGAGAUCUGAUGGUUUUAUAAAUGGAAGUUUUUCCUGCCGCUGACACAUGCAUUUCCCUGCUGCUAUGUGAAAUGUGCGUCUUCUCCUUCCGCCAUGAUUGUAAGUUUCCUGAGGCCUCCUCAGCCAUGCGGAACUGUGAGUCAGUUAAACCUCGUUUCUUUAUAAGUUACUCAGUCUCGAGAUGUCUUUAUAGCAGUGUGAGAAUGGACUAAUACAAUAGCUAAAUAAUGCCUUAGAAAUCAAUAUUUAAUUCUUAGUUUUUGAAACUUUACCGCGUAACUUUUUCAUGGAUGCACUAAUCAUGUCUGAUCUCCGUUUUCUCUUCAUUUUGUAAUCUGAAAUGAUUCACAUAUAAAAGAUGCAUAUAUUGUAUAUAUAUCUAUAUGUCAGUGAAAUAAUAAAAUGAAUACCCAUGUAUCCAGAGCCCAGCUUACCAACAUUUGGUAUUGCUUGGCUAUUUUAAUUUUUGCCAUUUUGAAGUGUGUAUAAAGAUAUUUCAUUUAAAAAUUUUUAUUUUCUUUAUUACUGUUGAAAUUGAACAUCUUUCAGUAUACUUUAUCUAUUUAUAUUUUCUCUCUGAAAGCUCUGUUCACAUUUAUUGCACAUUUAAAAAUUUUUUGUGUCUUAAAAAUGAGUAAGAAUUACUUAUAUCUGUAUAUUCUAGUACUAAUCUUCAGGGUUUCAAGUGUGUAUUUGUGUGUCACAAAUAUACUAUUAGAGAUUGUGUCUUCUAUUUUCACUUUCUUUGUGGUAUCUAUUAAUAAAGUUCCUGAUUUUAAUGUAAUCAAACACAUCAAUGUUUGUCAUUUUAAACAAUUAUUGAGAUUUAAAGGAAGGCUUCUUGCCCCAGGGUCAUGAAAAUAUGUUUAUAUUUUUUCUUACAGUGCUUUUGCUCUUACACUUAAGUCUUUAAUCUCAUCUGGCAUUGAUUUUGUACAUGGUGUGAGGUUUAACUUUUUUCCAUUGGCCUACUACUAGCUCAGUGAGGCCUACCCUAAUUACCCAGGGUAAAAUCAUAACUUCUUCACCCACCCUGGGACAUCCCCCUUUACCCUGCUUUAAUUGUCUCUCGAGCACUUCUUGCCACCUGUCACAUUCAUGUUCUAUGUUUCUUGUCCCAGUACCAUUUAUUUGAGUUGCCCCCUCCUUUCCAUACUGACCCCCUUUCCCACCUCAGUCAAACAUCAAGUAUAGAUGCUGUUAUCUGGACUCUGUAUUCUGGCUCAUGAUCCAAAUAUUUCAUUGUUUAUCUCUGUGUAAUCACCACAUUGUCUUAAUAACUGCACUGCUAUAAUGGUCUUAAUAUUAUAGGGCUAGUCCACCACCUCAUUCUGCAGAAGUGACUUGGUUAUUUGUGAUUGUUUAAACUUCUAUCAAAUAUUGGAAAUAGUGUUUCUAGUUCCCUGACAAACCCUGCUAAAAAAUUUUUACUGAAACUCCAUUAAAUCAACUUGGUGACAAUUGUCACAUUUAAUAUAUUCAACCUCCAGCACAGUGAAAAUGGUACCUUUCCCUAAUUAAUUAGGUCUUUUUAAAAAAAUUAUUUAAGCAAAGCUUUAGAAGUUUCUUCAUGAAAGUCUUGUAACUUUUUGUUAGAGUUAUUCAUAGAUUACUUUUAAUAUUUACAUGUGGUAAAUAUUUAUUUUUAAACUAUAUUACCUAUUUGUUGCUAGUGUAUGGAAAUACAAAGGAUUUCUAAUGUUAUAAAAAUAGUAUUAUUAACUAAGUUAUUAAUUCUAAUAAUUAGCCAGAAGAUUCUUUUGAAUUUUGUAUGAGGACAUAACAAUGCAUUCAAGUAAUGAUAAUUUUGUUUCUUACUUUCCAUCUCUAGUAUUGUUUAUUUUCUUCCAUCCUUAGAGUUUGAUCUAAUAAGUUCAGUACCUUAUUGGACAGAAAUGUUGAUGGUGAGCAUCUCAAUCUUGUUCAUGCCAUAUCCUGCAAGUCUUCAUGCAAGUGUCGUCUUCUUAGUGAGGCCUAACCUAUCCCCCAUUUAAAAUUGCAAAUUCCCAAACAUUCUGGGCCUUCCUAGUCCUCUUUAACUGUUUUAUAUUUCUCUGUAGCGAUAUUACCAUCUGACAUAGUCAUAUUUUAUGUGCUGGUUUAUUAUUUAUCUACCACCAUCAUGAGGCAUGGACUGACUUUCUACCUAAGUUAUUUUGAGCAAAUAACUGAAUGAAUAAUGUAUUUUAUACCUUAUACUGCCAAAUUAUUGUUACACAUAGUUUUUCCAUUGAUUCUCUAUGGAUUUCCAAAUGUGCUAUCCUGUCAUCUGUAAAUAAAUAAUGUAAGUUGUUCCUUUCCAAUUUUUAUGUCAUUAAUUGUUACCGCUUAUCUAAGAACAUUGAGUAAUUAGUGCCAUCAACAUAAUGUUAAUGAUUAUAGAGAUAGUGGCCAUCAUUACUCCUGACCUUACUAAGAAUUACUGUGUUUUACUACUAAAUAAAAAUCUGGCUUUACUUUGAAGUAAGCAAACAUUUUCCUCUAAUUCAGAUUCUUUAAACAAAAGUUGCAAAUGAAUGUAGCCUUCAUCUAUUGUAAAAUUAAAGAAGUUAAGAUUGCCACCUGGAAACUUUGGGCUCCUCUUACCUUUAAGGCAACAGGCUAAGAAAGGAGUUACAGUGUUAUCUGGGGUGAUUGACCAGGACUGUGAAGAUGAAAUCAGUCUACUACUCCACAACGGAUAGAGGAAUUCAGAAUUCAGCGGGGGUACAUUCUCAGCUGAGCUGGUGCCGUCACAUACCUAGUUGUAUGAAGAGUCUGAAAGAGGCGAGAAGAGGAGGCACUAGAAGGUCAAAGAAGGCAAAGAUAGUGGGACCAAGACUGCAGGAAAAACUAUGUGCCCUGGAGGACAUUGAGGUAAAGGUGAGGAAUAGAAUGAUUUUGAACAAAUCAAAGGGAAGAAAAUCGUUUUAAAAGUCUGAAAAGAGAUAAUUUGGGAGUUAAGGUACUGGUAGAACUCCUGUCUCUGAAGAUGUUAGUUCAGUAGGCUUAUGAUGGGCUCAGAGUUUAAUCCCUGGGGGACUUUGAUGAAGCAUUUCAUGGACAAAUGUUUGAGGGCCAGCAGCCAAGUAUAAAGGGUUACAGGUUACACAGGGCCAGUGUUGGUUCAUUUUGAGACGGUACUACAAAAGAUAAUGAACACCAGAGAUGGAGAUGGUCAAGGGGUUACCGCCAGUCUGUUUCUUGCGCUGAUAAUUUUUCUAGACAUUAAAUCUCACCAUUUGUUCCCAACAAAGAAAGAAAGACAGGACCACCAGACUCUACAGGGAAGCCAAGAGGAAGAAGGGAAGGAGCCCAGAAAUGGAGAGAAGCUGGACUCUAGGGAUGGAUCUGGGGAUGCUCCACAAAGUGCAGCUGUGGAGAAUGCAGAAGAAGAGUUGGCUAGUGGGACAUUCCCACUGAGGAGCAUGGCAGGGGGAAUGUCUAAUAUUCACUAAGAGAAUUCUUGAAAUGUAACAUUUAGAUGAAACUCUUCAAGUUUCCUUAAAAUACAAAUUCAUGACUCUCUUUCUUUCUCUCUCUCUCUUUCUCUCUCUCUUUGGUAUGUUAAAGUAAUCAAGGAAAGGGAUUUUGUUUUAUAACUGGGUUACACAGGGGAGAGACCAGAAUAGCUGAAAGCUGUGAGACAUGAAGAAAAUUCAAGAUUUAGGAGACAUGCAGAACAUCAGUGUCUAGGCAAAAUGGCAGACUGACCAACCCCCACACACUGAAUCCCUAGAGAUAUUAGGACAGGGAUAUUGAGAAAAAUUUACCUUUAAGUUGUAAAGGACAAGGCAACUCAACAUAUUGAAUGCCUUGUUGACAACCAGGGGCUAAUAUUUGGGAUGCAUAUUGGGCAUAGAUGCACAGAAAAUAAUUUAUCAGUGACAUUAAUAAUAUGACAUCUCUUUGUUGAGAAUUUACUGCUGUCUUAAUAUCACAACUCUAAGGGGUCAACAUCCAGAAUAAACUUCUUAUCUUACAUAUUUAAAAUUAUUUGCUAGGCUACAUUUUUCUUAGAAAAAUGCAUAUCUGAAACAGAAUAUUGAUUUUUUUCCUGGGUCAUACAUAAAGACCAUCAGAAAUUAAUUAUUGAAAAAACACUGCUAUACUCAUUAGAGAUAUAUUUUAAUUAGAUUAAUUUUGCAUUAACAGUCCAUGAGAAGUUACAACUAACUUGCAACGAGACAUUAACAUGCAUCAUGUUUGAUAUAAGUAAAAAUGGAAAUGAUUAGAAGUAUACAAAUAUAAAGUAUGUUGCUAGUAUAUGCAAGCUUAAAAAACUUUUACCUGAUAGAAUUAGCAAGAGCAGCUAUGUUGAGCUUCUUUCAGUUAAAAGUCAUUUUCGGCUAUGUCUCCCUAAGGAUAGAAAUAUCACUGCUUUUGAUCUCAUUUAGAAUUCUGCUCACUUUUAGGAAAGUAGGGCUGUUUGGAAAUGGUCAGCCAUAUCCUUACUGAAUUUCCUAGGGCUUGACUGCACCUACUCUAGUUAACAAGUAAGAUAUAGUUAUAUAUUGUAUUAUAACUUCUCAAAGCACUUAUAUUUUGAUUUUCCUUCUUUUAUGUUCAUUAUCUUCAUUUGGACUACUCCAUGUGACAAAAGCAGUUAUUUUUCUUCUACCCCCUAAACUGGACCACAUCGAUGCUCUUAGGUCCAAAUCAUAUUCUUUAAGAAACAAGUGUUCACUGAAUGAUUUACUGCAUUAUAUAAUAGGUACUAUACAAGACACCUGAGGCCCCCCACACCGUGAAAACAGAUGUUUCUUCCUGGAGCUUGCCCAAUAGGAGAGAAAUUUUUAAUUUACCCUUUCUCAGUAAACCAUUAUACAAAACAGAAGUGAAAUUAUGGACCCAGUGAACUCAAUCUGGCUGACUUGCAACCCCUAUGUGUUCAUAAACCCACUGAAAUAUAUAAUUUGUUGUUUAUAUUAAAUAUGCACUGAAGCAUGAUUAGAUAAACAUUGAAAGUAAAUUUUAAUUUUAACCAUCAGUGGAAGUAUAUGGGGUGAUUUAAGUCAUUCAUAUUAGUUUAUUUUUAUCAGGUGUUCCUCCUUGUCCAUAGUGAAAUACAAUACAGAGAUUAUAGCCUGUGGCUUGACAGGACAUCUUAUAGUUGGUAACAGGACUACAUUAAAAGGAAAAAACAAUAAAUAAGGAUGUCUAAUUAUACAGAUAAAGAAAGCAAGUUCACUCACUCCUCCAGGACAGCACCAGAGACAACGUUAGAACCAAGAGUUUCAAAACCUCGCCUUGUAUGGUUUGCCUGAUGCCAUGAUUAAAGAAAAGGGGGUGGGGAACUAAGAGAGGAAGCCAAAGAGAAAGAAUUCAGUACCAAACAGCAAUAUUCAGAUGUUUUAUUAAAUAAUAGGAGGUGUUUUGACCUUGCUGGUGAACAGAGGUGAUCUCAAAACAUUUGACAGAUAUAAUUAAGGCCAUAAGGCAAUAAUUGCAAAAGUCAAGGAGCCCUUGCCACCUCCAAAGCAUCACGUGUGGAUGCAGGAACCAUAUUAACAACAUGGGUAGUCAAGGAGAAAGCAGAUAGAAUAAAGCUGUACCCAGCAAUAUAAAGGGACAUGCAAGUGUGUGUUGUGCUUAAGAGUAAACUUAGGGAAAAAAGCUCCCCAUAACCUCGAGAAACGUUUCUGGAUCUGAGAUAUCCAUUAGCACAUUUAGAAGGUACCUAUUUCCAUUAUUGUGAAGGAGUUGUAAAUGAAAUAAACAACUUUAAAUAAUACCUCCCUUGGUCAAACUGCAUUAAGUAUUCCCUGAUGGAAUUCAUUCAUCAUCAUUCAAACAGAAUGGUUUGCAACUCAACCUGCCUAGUGUGGGGUCUGGAAUUCCCACCACAGUCACUGUGCCUUAAGCACUGUUGCAGCAGAAGGACUUGAAGUAACACAUGAAUAUAUAAUGCCAAUUUGCAUGUCAGCAUGGAUUGUUGAAAUUGAAGUUAGUUAAUUGUCACAUUGUAACAGGAAAAGAAUCCAAGUUUUGGAGCUGGUUGGAACUGAGUUUUCAUCUUCUUUCUCUGCUACUUAACUGUGUUAUCCUGAACAAGAUACUCAACCUCCAUGAGACACAGUGACCAUGUGAAAUAUAUAUGUAAAAUGUCUGGCAAACAUCUGAUUCAUGUAGGUACCCAAAAUUAGAUCAUUUUCAUUUUCUUUUGCUUCCUUGGAAGUUCAAAACAAAAUUCUGAGGUAAGUUUCAAUUAAAAUGGGUCAGGCAGACAGAUUCCAGCAAGGUCAAAGCAUCCUUUUUUCUUUAAUAAAAUAUCUGAAUAUCUGAACAAGAAACAACUUCUGUUUCUCAAGGUUGAAAUGAUGAAUUAUUGAACUUCUGUUGCUGUUUGUUUUCUCUCUUAUCUCCUUACUACUACAUAUAAAUGAGAUAUCUUGCUAUCCCACUGAUAUCUCAAAUUCAGUAUUUCCCAAAUAAAACGUAAUCUUUUGGUGAUCUGACACUAACAACUUAACAACCAUUCUACUGAGUCAACAAAUUUCUCCUCUGUGUACAGACUUCAACCGAAGAAUCUAAUACUACUGUGAAGUGCUGCUGGGCAGGACACACGUUCAGGAGACACAGUAGGGGAACAGAUGAGGCCAGAGUGGCCCACAGCCGGGGUGAAGAGCCCCCAAUUAUUUAUAAAGUGUUUGCUGCCUCAUUUAUGAAAAUAAAUAGUGCAAAGCUGUUACAAGU
RNAcentral lists this long non-coding RNA (8497 nucleotides) under Homo sapiens (human). RNAcentral's name for it is "long non-coding RNA NONHSAT217355.1". Lineage: Eukaryota; Metazoa; Chordata; Mammalia; Primates; Hominidae. The record is from RNAcentral.